GACGAACGCUGGCGGCGUGCUUAACACAUGCCAGUCGAACGGAAAGGCCCUGCUUUUGUGGGGUGCUCGAUUGGCGAACGGGUGAGUAACACGUGAGUAACCUGCCCUUGACUUUGGGAUAACUUCAGGAAACUGGGGCUAAUACCGGAUAGGAGCUCCUGCUGCAUGGUGGGGGUUGGAAAGUUUCGGCGGUUGGGGAUGGACUCGCGGCUUAUCAGCUUGUUUGUUGGGUAGUGGCUUACCAAGGCUUUGACGGGUAGCCGGACUGAGAGGGUGACCGGGGAAAUGGGGACUGAGAGAGGGCACAGAAGGAAACGGGAGGCAGCAGUGGGGAAUAUUGCAGAAUGGGCGGAAGCCUGAUGCAGAAACGCAGCGGGCGGGAUGACGGCCUUCGGGUUGUAAACCGAUUUAGAAUGUGACGAAGCGUGAGUGACGGUAAUGGGUAAAGAAGCACCGGCUAACUACGUG
Molecule: ribosomal RNA, 468 nt
Filed under: uncultured bacterium
Lineage: Bacteria
Description: partial 16S ribosomal RNA
Rfam family: Bacterial small subunit ribosomal RNA
Source: RNAcentral